RNAcentral lists this ribosomal RNA (600 nucleotides) under Patelloida saccharina lanx. RNAcentral describes it as "bacterial SSU rRNA". It matches the Rfam family "Eukaryotic small subunit ribosomal RNA", at positions 34 to 561 of the family's 1831-position model. Lineage: Eukaryota; Metazoa; Mollusca; Gastropoda; Lottiidae. The record is from RNAcentral.
GUCUCAAAGCUUAAGCCAUGCAAGUCUAAGUUCAGGCUUGUUUCUUUCGGGGAGCGAGCCGAAACUGCGAACGGCUCAUUAGUCAGAUAAGGUUCCUUGGCUAAAAGCGGAUCGGUUUUAAUGGAUAACUGUGGUAAUUCUAGAGCUAAUACAUGCAACGCACCGUGGUCCCCGUAGUCUUCUCGUCUCGGGGAAACGGCAUUUAUUCUCUGGACCAGAUCGCCCUAGCCUGCGAAGCUACCGUCAAAAGUAGCGACGGGGUGAAGCGACAAGUGUUGAAAUCCGAAUAACUGUGCCGAUCGCGGGGUCUUUCCGGGCCCCCGGCGACUUUGCCAUGAAGUGUCUGUCCCAUCAAUUGGCGAUGGUCGGCGACCUGCCUACCACGGUGUUGACGGGUAACGGGGAAUCAGGGUUCGAUUCCGGAGAGGGAGCCUGCGAAACGGCUACCACCUCCAAGGAGGGCAGCAGGCGCGCAACUUACCCAAUCCCGACACGGGGAGGUAGUGACGAAAAAUAACGUGGCGGGGCCCUUUUGUGGUCACCGCGGGCGGAAUGAGCGCAAUUUAAAAGAGUGUGCGAGGAUCCAUUGGAGGGCAAGUC